Molecule: long non-coding RNA, 339 nt
Filed under: Mytilus galloprovincialis (Mediterranean mussel)
Lineage: Eukaryota; Metazoa; Mollusca; Bivalvia; Mytilida; Mytilidae
Source: RNAcentral
UGUCUGGCAAAUUUCCAACAUAUAUUAUCAACAAAUAUUCUAUACAAAGAAAGAUAACUCCAAUUGAAAAUUAAUUGCUAUUGCACAAUAUUGUGCAAUUAGAUAUUUCUUGCUAUUGUGCAAUACUGUGCAAUUGAAAAUUUCUUGCUAUUGCGCACAAUACUUGAUAUGGAAUCCUGAUUUGGACCAACUUGAAAACUGGGCCCAUAAUCAAAAAUCAAAGUACAUAUUUAGAUAAAGCAUAUCAAAUAAGCCCAAUAAUUUAAUUUUUGUUAAAAUCAAACUUAGUUUAAUUUUGGACCCUUUGGACCUUAAUGUAGACCAAUUUGAAAACUGGAC